UGCUAAUCAACUGUUCUUCAAAUUCAUACCCACAUAUGCUUAUUAUCCGAUCCCACAUCUUCUCCAUCGCCGCUACAUGAUGUCAUCACCACCGAUAUCGGCGGCGGUUGCCCACCUCUCCCUCUCCGACCUCUGCUCCUCCACCGUCCCCGAUUCCUUCGAAAACUCUCGCCAAUUCUCCGGCUACGCUCGCCGUCUCCAGCUCCUACUCAACCAGCUUAUUCGGUCGUCC
Molecule: unclassified non-coding RNA, 232 nt
Filed under: Hevea brasiliensis (rubber tree)
Lineage: Eukaryota; Viridiplantae; Streptophyta; Magnoliopsida; Malpighiales; Euphorbiaceae
Source: RNAcentral